This 252-nucleotide ribosomal RNA is filed under the name uncultured bacterium. Its description in RNAcentral is "partial 16S ribosomal RNA". It matches the Rfam family "Bacterial small subunit ribosomal RNA", at positions 524 to 776 of the family's 1533-position model. The record is from RNAcentral.
UACAGAGGGGGCUAGCGUUAUUCGGAAUUAUUGGGCGUAAAGGGCGCGUAGGCGGCCUUGCGUGUCUUUCGUGAAAUCCUCGGCCUAACUGAGGACGUGCGGAAGAAACUGCAGGGCUUGAGUCCGGGAGAGGGGGGUGGAAUUCCCAGUGUAGCGGUGAAAUGCGUAGAUAUUGGGAGGAACACCGGUGGCGAAGGCGGCCCCCUGGACCGGUACUGACGCUGAGGCGCGAAAGCGUGGGGAGCAAACGGG